This 497-nucleotide ribosomal RNA is filed under the name uncultured bacterium. RNAcentral describes it as "partial 16S ribosomal RNA". It matches the Rfam family "Bacterial small subunit ribosomal RNA", at positions 28 to 507 of the family's 1533-position model. The record is from RNAcentral.
GAUGAACGCUGGCGGCGUGCCUAAUACAUGCAAGUCGAGCGGACAGACGAGGAGCUUGCUCCUCUGACGUUAGCGGCGGACGGGUGAGUAACACGUGGAUAACCUACCUAUAAGACUGGGAUAACUUCGGGAAACCGGAGCUAAUACCGGAUAAUAUAUUGAACCGCAUGGUUCAAUAGUGAAAGACGGUUUUGCUGUCACUUAUAGAUGGAUCCGCGCCGCAUUAGCUAGUUGGUAAGGUAACGGCUUACCAAGGCAACGAUGCGUAGCCGACCUGAGAGGGUGAUCGGCCACACUGGAACUGAGACACGGUCCAGACUCCUACGGGAGGCAGCAGUAGGGAAUCUUCCGCAAUGGGCGAAAGCCUGACGGAGCAACGCCGCGUGAGUGAUGAAGGUCUUCGGAUCGUAAAACUCUGUUAUUAGGGAAGAACAAAUGUGUAAGUAACUAUGCACGUCUUGACGGUACCUAAUCAGAAAGCCACGGCUAACUACGUG